Molecule: ribosomal RNA, 383 nt
Filed under: Cerradomys subflavus (Flavescent Oryzomys)
Lineage: Eukaryota; Metazoa; Chordata; Mammalia; Rodentia; Cricetidae
Description: partial 12S ribosomal RNA
Source: RNAcentral
CUUAGCCCUAAACUUCAAUAAUUUUCUAACAAUACUAUUUGCCAGAGAACUACGAGCCACCGCUUAAAACUCAAAGGACUUGGCGGUACUUUAUAUCCACCUAGAGGAGCCUGUUCUAUAAUCGAUAAACCCCGCUACACCUCACCACCUCUUGCUAAUUCAGCCUAUAUACCGCCAUCUUCAGCAAACCUUAAAAAAGAAUAGUAGUAAGCAAGAAUAUACAUCAUAAAAACGUUAGGUCAAGGUGUAGCCAAUGGGGUGGGAAGUAAUGGGCUACAUUUUCUUCUCAAGAACAUACGAUACUCUUUAUGAAAUUAAAGAGCGAAGGAGGAUUUAGCAGUAAAUUAAGAAUAGAGAGCUUAAUUGAACCGAGCAAUGAAGUA